UUGCCAUGUUCUAGUUUCCCGGUGCUCC
Molecule: non-coding RNA, 28 nt
Filed under: Mus musculus (house mouse)
Lineage: Eukaryota; Metazoa; Chordata; Mammalia; Rodentia; Muridae
Source: RNAcentral